ACGGAAGGCAGCAGUAGGGAAUCUUCCACAAUGGGCGAAAGCCUGAUGGAGCAACGCCGCGUGAGUGAAGAAGGUUUUCGGAUCGUAAAACUCUGUUGUAAGGGAAGAACAAGUACAGUAGUACCUGGCUGUACCUUGACGGUACCUUAUUAGAAGGCCACGGCUAACUACGUGCCAGCAGCCGUGGUAAUACGUAGGUGGCAAGCGUUGUCCGGAUUUAUUGGGCGUAAAGCGCGCGCAGGUGGUUUCUUAAGUCUGAUGUGAAAGCCCCCGGCUCAACCGGGGAGGGUCAUUGGAAACUGGGAGACUUGAGUGCAGAAGAGGAUAGUGGAAUUCCAAGUGUAGCGGUGAAAUGCGUAGAGAUUUGGAGGAACACCAGUGGCGAAGGCGACUGUCUGGUCUGUAACUGACACUGAGGCGCGAAAGCGUGGGGAGCAAACAGGAUUAGAUACCCUGGUA
This 459-nucleotide ribosomal RNA is filed under the name uncultured Lysinibacillus sp. RNAcentral describes it as "partial 16S ribosomal RNA". It matches the Rfam family "Bacterial small subunit ribosomal RNA", at positions 341 to 792 of the family's 1533-position model. The record is from RNAcentral. Lineage: Bacteria; Bacillati; Bacillota; Bacilli; Caryophanales; Bacillaceae.